This 253-nucleotide ribosomal RNA is filed under the name uncultured bacterium. RNAcentral's name for it is "partial 16S ribosomal RNA". It matches the Rfam family "Bacterial small subunit ribosomal RNA", at positions 524 to 776 of the family's 1533-position model. The record is from RNAcentral.
GACGUAGGGUGCAAGCGUUGUCCGGAUUUAUUGGGCGUAAAGAGCUCGUAGGCGGCUUGUCGCGUCGUCCGUGAAAACCUGGGGCUCAACCCCAGGCUUGCGGUCGAUACGGGCAGGCUAGAGUUCGGUAGGGGAGACUGGGAUUCCUGGUGUAGCGGUGAAAUGCGCAGAUAUCAGGAGGAACACCGGUGGCGAAGGCGGGUCUCUGGGCCGAUACUGACGCUGAGGAGCGAAAGCGUGGGGAGCGAACAGG